UCCCUGGUAGCUCAGCUGUUGAAGAAUCUGCCUGCAAUGCAGGAGACCCUGGUUCAAUUCCUGGUCGGGAAG
Molecule: transfer RNA, 72 nt
Organism: Ovis aries (sheep)
Lineage: Eukaryota; Metazoa; Chordata; Mammalia; Artiodactyla; Bovidae
Rfam family: tRNA
About the family: Transfer RNA (tRNA) molecules are approximately 80 nucleotides in length. Their secondary structure includes four short double-helical elements and three loops (D, anti-codon, and T loops). Further hydrogen bonds mediate the characteristic L-shaped molecular structure. tRNAs have two regions of fundamental functional importance: the anti-codon, which is responsible for specific mRNA codon recognition, and the 3' end, to which the tRNAs corresponding amino acid is attached (by aminoacyl-tRNA synthetases). tRNAs cope with the degeneracy of the genetic code in two manners: having more than one tRNA (with a specific anti-codon) for a particular amino acid; and 'wobble' base-pairing, i.e. permitting non-standard base-pairing at the 3rd anti-codon position.
Source: Rfam